UACGUAGGGUGCAAGCGUUGUCCGGAUUUAUUGGGUUUAAAGGGUGUGUAGGCGGAUGUUUAAGUCUUGGGUGAAAGUCAUCAGCUCAACUGAUGAAGUGCCUGAGAUACUGGAUAUCUUGAGUGAACUUGAGGCUACUGGAAUUGGUGGUGUAGCGGUGAAAUGCAUAGAUACCACCAGGAACGUCAAUUGCGAAGGCAAGUAGCUGGGGUUCAACUGACGCUGAUGCACGAAAGCGUGGGGAGCAAACAGG
RNAcentral lists this ribosomal RNA (253 nucleotides) under uncultured bacterium. Its description in RNAcentral is "partial 16S ribosomal RNA". It matches the Rfam family "Bacterial small subunit ribosomal RNA", at positions 524 to 776 of the family's 1533-position model. The record is from RNAcentral.